GGCUCCAUAGCUCAGUGGUUAGAGCACUGGUCUCGUAAACCAGGGGUCGUGAGUUCAAUUCUCGCUGGGGCCU
Molecule: transfer RNA, 73 nt
Filed under: Xenopus laevis (African clawed frog)
Lineage: Eukaryota; Metazoa; Chordata; Amphibia; Anura; Pipidae
Rfam family: tRNA
About the family: Transfer RNA (tRNA) molecules are approximately 80 nucleotides in length. Their secondary structure includes four short double-helical elements and three loops (D, anti-codon, and T loops). Further hydrogen bonds mediate the characteristic L-shaped molecular structure. tRNAs have two regions of fundamental functional importance: the anti-codon, which is responsible for specific mRNA codon recognition, and the 3' end, to which the tRNAs corresponding amino acid is attached (by aminoacyl-tRNA synthetases). tRNAs cope with the degeneracy of the genetic code in two manners: having more than one tRNA (with a specific anti-codon) for a particular amino acid; and 'wobble' base-pairing, i.e. permitting non-standard base-pairing at the 3rd anti-codon position.
Source: Rfam by way of RNAcentral